GACGAACGCUGGCGGCGUGCCUAACACAUGCAAGUAGAACGAGGAAGUGCGGAGCUUGCUCUUAAUGGAUGAGUUGCGAACGUGUGAGUAACGCGUAGGGAACCUGCCUUAUAGCGGGGGAUAACUAUUUGGAACGAUAGCUAAUACCGCUUAACAAUGGAUGACGCAUGUCAUUUAUAUGAAAGGGGCAAUUGCUUCACUACAAGAUGGACCUGCGUUGUAUUAGCUAGUAGGUGAGGUAAUGGCUCACCUAGGCGACGAUACAUAGCCGACCUGAGAGGGUGAUCGGCCACACUGGGACUGUGACACGGCCCAGACGACCAGGGGAGGCAGCAGUAGGGAAUCUUCGGAAAUGGGGGCAAGCCUGACCGAGUAACGCCGCGUGAGUGCGGGAGGUUUUCGGGUCGUAAGGCUCUGUUGUAAGUUAAGAACGGGUGGGAGAGUGGAAAGUUCACGCUGUGACGGUAGCUUACCAGAAAGGGACGGCUAACUCCGUG
RNAcentral lists this ribosomal RNA (497 nucleotides) under uncultured bacterium. RNAcentral's name for it is "partial 16S ribosomal RNA". It matches the Rfam family "Bacterial small subunit ribosomal RNA", at positions 28 to 507 of the family's 1533-position model. The record is from RNAcentral.